RNAcentral lists this ribosomal RNA (485 nucleotides) under uncultured bacterium. Its description in RNAcentral is "bacterial SSU rRNA". It matches the Rfam family "Bacterial small subunit ribosomal RNA", at positions 32 to 524 of the family's 1533-position model. The record is from RNAcentral.
AAUCAACGCUGGCGGCGCGCUUAACACAUGCAAGUCGAACGAGAAAGGGAGCAAUCCUGAGUAAAGUGGCGUACUGGUGAGUAACACGUGGAUAUCUACCUCUUGGUGGGGAAUAACCUGGGGAAACCUGGGCUAAUACCGCAUAAGUUCGUGAGAAGAAAGGCGCAAGUCGCCGAGAGAGGAGUCCGCGGUCGAUUAGGUAGUUGGCAGGGUAAAAGCCUACCAAGCCGAAGAUCGAUAGCCGGCCUGAGAGGGCACACGGCCACACUGGCACUGAAACACGGGCCAGACUCCUACGGGAGGCAGCAGUGGGGAAUCUUGCACAAUGGGGGAAACCCUGAUGCAGCGACGCCGCGUGAGCGAUGAAGCCCUUCGGGGUGUAAAGCUCUUUUGUCAGGGAAGAAACGGUGAGUUCUAAUAAGCUUGCUAAUGACGGUACCUGAAGAAUAAGCACCGGCUAACUACGUGCCAGCAGCCGCGGUAAU